Long non-coding RNA from Bos taurus (domestic cattle), 1410 nucleotides. The record is from Ensembl. Lineage: Eukaryota; Metazoa; Chordata; Mammalia; Artiodactyla; Bovidae.
CUCUCAGUUAAGUGCUGUAUCUGGUUUGUUUUCUACAGCAUCCCAAAACUGACAGUGCUUGUCACCACAUGCGUGCUAAAAAUAGUGAAAAUCACUGAAUUUUGUGUUCAACACAUAUACACAGAGCUAGUUUCAGGCUAGUUUUAUUGAAUUUGUUGUUGUUUAGUUGCUAAGUCACGUCCAACUCUUUGCGACCCCACCGGGCUCCUCUACCCAUGGAAUUUGCCAGGCAAAAAUACUGGAGUGGGUUGCCAUUUCCUUUUCCAGUGGAUCUUUCCGACCCAGGGAUUGAACCUGUGUCUCCUGCAUUGUAAGCAGAUUCUUUAUCACUGAGCCACCACGGAAGCCCAUUUCUUCCAAGUGAAUUUUGUUUUUUCAAUACACACACACAGAGCUAGUUUUAGGCCAGUUUUAUUGAAUUUACCUGAAGUGGAGUAGCAAAUAUUUCGAGAUAACUUAAGAAUUAGGGAGGAUUGAGGAGAAGGAAAUGGCAACCCACUCCAGUAUUCUUGCCUGGAGAAUCCCAUAGACAGAGGAGCCUGGCAGGCUACAGUCCAUGGGGUCGCAAGAGUCGGACACGACUUAGUGCACUGUCUCACCCCAGAGAUCCUGCCACAUAUACCACAAAAACCAAACAUCCCCCAGUGACCUUGGCCCCACUGUUCCAAUCACUCCCAGGUGGGAAUUCAGGCACAUGUCCACAGAGGUCACAGACAACAUACAUACGGUGCUGUUAUGUCCCAUAUAUUACCCUUUCAUGUCCCAAGGAAGACAUUUUCUCUUAGAGAUUUUCAUUUAGUGUAUCUUUAAAAAAAUCUUGUGUUAAACUUGCCUCCAUCUUUUUCUUGGGUAAGGACAACCCAGAAAUGGCCCUUUUGUGUCUGUGAUGUUGCCAUUCACAGCUUUCUUGAUAGGCCUAGUACAAUCUUGAGAACAGGGUUGCUGUAUGCUGAGUGUCAGACGAUAGCUCUUAGCUUUGCCUAUCUUAGGUAGUUAUGCUGUGCAUUUUUUAUUGGUGUACCAUGUUUCAUUUGUCCCUAAUACCUUUGAAGUUUUUCUGAGAAAUGAAUAAUGCAACAUGAACUUAUUAAAAUACAUUUUAAGCCUUAAAAAAAAAAAAAGACUUAGGGAGGAUUGAACUCUAGGGAAAUUGUAUAGAGUGGCAACAGAUUUUUGAAAAGUUUCAUUUUGGAGAGAGAAGAGGAAAGAAAAUAAGAAACACUUAAGAGAAAGAACAGAGCUUAUGGAAAUCUCUUUAAGCUGAAUGGGCCAAGCUGAUUAUUUAGCCUUCUAAUUAAACCCAGAAUCUAUUCCCCAUAUUGUACAAUAUAUCCUUAUAACUUAUUUUAUACCUAACAGUCCGUACCUCUUACUCCCCUACCCCUAUACUGCCCCUCCCAUCUAUGCCAG